Molecule: long non-coding RNA, 7281 nt
Filed under: Strongylocentrotus purpuratus (purple sea urchin)
Lineage: Eukaryota; Metazoa; Echinodermata; Echinoidea; Camarodonta; Strongylocentrotidae
Description: serine/threonine-protein kinase A-Raf, transcript variant X1
Source: RNAcentral
UUGUCACGUGACCAAGUAACCCUUCAGAAAGAUGGCGACCAGCAGCAGUGAAUUCCCUGCUUCUUAUUCGGCUGGGCAAUUUGCGAGUGAAAGUCCCAGCUGUGACAAUGGCCACUCGGAUUAUUUCAACAUGGGGGACAGAACGAAAACAGAGCAGUUAAAUGUCAUCCAUAUGCAUAUGGAGUUGAAAAAGAAGAAUAUUGAGGAAUUGAUGGAAAGAUUUGGAACCGAGCAGCCACCACCUCCAAUAUUUCUUGAGGAAUACCAAGACCUGACGGAUCAACUGAGUGAGUUACAGGUUGAAGAACAGAGGAUUAACAAUGAGAUGAGUAAUGGGCACACCUCACCAAACCUUCAGACCACACCCCCUCCAGAACCAGCAGAUCUCCACGUACCCUACCAUAACAAACAGAGCCUAGCUCCACCCCACAAGAGGGAAUUCACAAAUCAGCAACAUCCAAAGUCACCGCUUAGCCAGUCAGUUAGGGCUUUCUUGCCAAAUCAGCAGAGAACAUCGGUACUAGCCAAGUCUGGAACCACCCUCAAAUAUUGUCUCUCGAAAGCCAUGAAGAUGAGGGAGUUAACACCAGAGAUGUGCAUAGUGUAUCGGGUCAACCCCAGGAUGGCUCUGAGCUGGGAUACGGAUAUGAUGUACCUGGCAGGAGAAGAAAUAUCUGUAGAACUGAAAGCCCAAAAUUUCCCAGCACCAAGUAGCAUAUCACAUAAUUUUGUCAGAAAAACCUUCUUCGCAAUAGCCUUUUGUGACAGCUGUCAGAAGCUGCUAUUCCACGGCUUCCGAUGUCAAACAUGCAGCUACAAAUUCCAUCAGCGAUGUGCUAACAAAGUGCCCACGAUAUGCAUAUCGACAACAGGAGAUAAUCUUUACAAGCUAUUAUUGGCAUUGCGGAAAGAAGAUGACUACAAUGAUUAUCCCGAUACCUUCCCCGAUGAGCCUGAAUCGCCAUCAUCGGACGACCAAGAUUUCCCAAGGAAUACGUUACCACGGGAACGCUCGACAUCCGCACCGAACAUCUGUCAAAAUGCAGUUAACGUACCUGGUCAACAGUUUGAUAGUGAAGCUUUUUCAAGAUUCGCUUUUCCAGUAAAAAGCUCUCUAAAUCCAAAUGGACACACUGCUAGCGCCGCUGUUAACAUCCAUGGGGCUCACGGCGGUGGACAUGGCAAAGUGCUAACCCCGAACAGUGCCGUUCAGGAUGGCGUCUUUGACUAUGACCCCACUAACAUCGCCAAUGGCUUAGCGUCUAGUUUACCGAACACUAGGAACCUGAUACACAGUCCAAAAAGAGAGUCUGGAUCGCACAGUUCCCAACCCUCCCCCACCCAUCAGCCUAGGUGGAAGGACGUCCUUCCUGGCUCUGACUCUAAGGAUAACAAGAUCAAACCUCCCACCACAUUGCUAGGUCAUAGGAGGACAAGAAGAGAUUCCAAUGACGACUGGGAGAUACCAACUGAUGAGAUUAGGUUAGGAUCAAGGAUAGGAGCAGGAUCAUUUGGAACUGUGUUCAGUGGACAAUGGCAUGGUUCUGUAGCAGUGAAGAGGUUGAAUGUUAAGGAUCCAACUCCAUCACAACUACAAGCAUUCAAGAAUGAGGUCGCUGUACUUAGGAAAACGAGGCACGCCAACAUCCUGCUUUUCAUGGGGUGCACCUCCAAGCCCCAGCUAGCAAUCGUGACACAGUGGUGUGAAGGCUCGUCACUCUAUAAACAUCUCCAUGUUCUAGACACUAAAUUAGUCAUGCAUCAACUUAUUGACAUAUCAAGACAGACAGCACAGGGUAUGGACUACCUCCAUGCAAAGAACAUCAUCCAUCGAGACCUGAAAUCAAACAAUAUCUUCCUGCACGAUGACCUCACAGUGAAGAUAGGAGACUUUGGGCUAGCUACGGUCAAAUCAAGGUGGAGUGGGUCACAGCAGUUUGAGCAGCCUUCAGGUUCAAUACUCUGGAUGGCGCCUGAAGUGAUUAGGAUGAGGGAUACUAACCCAUACUCAUUCCAGUCUGAUGUCUAUGCAUUUGGAGUGGUUCUCUUUGAGUUGGUCACGCAAUCUUUGCCAUAUCAGAACAUCAAACACAAAGAUCAGAUCAUCUGGAUGGUUGGGCGUGGUUACUUACAGCCGGACCUGAGCAAGGUUCGGAACGACACGCCCAAGGCACUCAAGAGACUUAUCACAGACUGCUAUGCGCUCAAUAGAGAUGAGAGACCCUUGUUCCCUGUGGUUUUGGCAGCGUUGGAGAGCUUGGCCAGGCAGCUACCGAAGAUCCACCGCAGUGCAUCGGAACCUUCGUCGCUAAAUCGGGCGAGGUUACAUUCAGACGAUUUCAUGUACUGCCCUUCCCCCAAGACCCCCAUUCAAAGCCAAUUUGCUGUCUUCCCAUUUGACAUGCGUGGAUGAUGACAGUUUAUGCUGUGAACAAACGAAGCGAAGCGACUUGGCUUCUCACUUUUCAAUUAAAUGGACAAUCGACUAUCUAUACCCCAAACUGUGGAAAUGGGUAUAAUGUGAUGACUUGUAUGACAUUUGAACAUGAAGACAGAACAUAUCUUGAAAUCUAGUGACAGAUUAGUGGUAGAAAUAAAAGCCUGGAAAGGAUGAUGAAUCAGCAUUCUUCAGGAGCUAAUGUCAACUACCACAGAAAUCUACCUAACAGAGGAACUUAGCUAUCAUGAUGGAGAAUAUGAAAUGAAAUUUGUGGAAUAUUGAAAGAACUCUGCUUCAUCAUGCAACAUAAUUAUGUGAAAUUUGACAAAUCAAGUUAAGAUGAUGCACAUCAUAGAUGAAACACUUUGCGAGUCAUCUUCUGGAAGACAUUGUGUAAGAGAUUUAAGAGAUUUUUUUGAAAUAAUGGUGCAUGGAUCCUAAAGUGAAAAUGGAAUUUGAAUACUACAGCAAAUGCCUUAUGACCGACACAAUAGGCAAUCUGCGACCCGGCAAGAUGAAGAGAAGGAGACAGAUCUGUUUCUGUAUGACGGAACACUGCAAUCGUCCAAACUGAGAGGACGCAAGUGUUAGGAUAUGCUGUGACAGGAAAGAAAUCAUCGAAAUGCAGCACAUCUGUAGAUUUUUAUCAUGAAAUUAUCAAUAUUCAAGUCUUAGAGAAAAAUACACACACACACCCUACGCAUUUUAUUGAAUCCAAACGUUUCAUGUAGAUCAUAUAUACGAAAUACUGAACAUGUAUGUAUGUAUGUAUGUAGAUUAGUAAGGUCAAGGCUCACUAAUACAGAAGAUGCUAAGUUUUGAGAUUUAUUGUAUAUUGUUGAAUUCAAAAGUUAAACUUUAAAAAAUAGUGAAUGCAGGGGAAAGUGGAUUGUAAUAGUAAAUGAAUUGUAAAAAUCUUCAAGAUGUACUGAACAGGCACCCAGGAAUCAUUGCUUCAUACGUGAUGGCACAUUAAAUAUAUAUCUGUCAAUUUUUAGGUGUGGUAAGGGACAUCCAUUUCUUUCAUGAUUUGUUUGAAAGUCUACCCUCCUUUGGCACAUGUUUUUAUAUACUCUUAUCUCAUCAGGAAAGAGAGGAAUUAUGUGUCCUCUUAGCAAUGCAAAAUUCAUAUUCAGUCACUGUGUGAGAUGGUCCACAAAUAUGUAAGCAUUUGAAAAUUAAUUAUGAGCCCAUGAUCAUGAUUAGAUCACUGUCAUUGCUGAACUUUUCUUUUAUAUACCCACCACCCUACAUGUGCUUGCUUAUGCAUACAACUGACAUUUAUCAAACACAGAUUUUACAUCUGUCUAUAUAUGAUGAUGAUGAAUCUAAUAAACACAUCUCUUUGCCUGAUCUGAACACACUGCUUUUUAGAAGCAACCUAUCUGCAGUAUACUGCACCAAAUCUGAACUCACAAAGAGACAAAACUAUAUUUUCUGUAUUGGAUUUAUGUAUUCUUCAACAUAAUUAAUGAUUAUAAAUCCUCGGACACUGUUUUUCAUUCUGAAUUAAAUUGACAUCUAGAAUAGAGUUAGGGUUAUCAUUUGUUUAAAUUUAUUUCGAAGUCCAUUUUUUAGACUCUGUUGAUAGCUGAUGCGCCCAUAUACCAUAUUACAGCAUGAGUCAGACUUUGACCUUUUUACACUUUACUACGAUCUCUUUGUCAUCGCAAGUUGCACUUUAUUUUUGUAUUAUUAACUCCAACAUCAUUUAUACAUUCAUACUUCUGCAUACUACUUAGUGAGUCUGAGUGUUAAAUUUAAUUUGGUUUUAUCUGCUUCUGAUUCAAUUUGAAAGUUGUGCUAACCUGACAUUUUCAUCAACAUGGCUCAAAGUCAAUCCCACAAUGUUAGCACCAGAAGACGAAAAAAAGAAAAAAAGUAAUCUACAAAAUAAUGAAAACACACUUUUUAAAUGAUAACAGCACAAUUUACAAUGUGUUUUCUAAAAGGACUUCUUAAAAUAUUUUUAAUAAGAGAGAGGACACAAUUGUAAGACUGAAUUUUUAUUAAUUGCCUUGAAAACACAUAAACAAUAUUUUCCCUCUACAUUUUAUAAUGUACAUAUGAUCGUGCAUAAUUUAUCCACAGAUGGUGUUCCUAAUUCCAAAUACAAUAUUUAUCUCUCAAUUCUUAGAGAAAUUUUCUUACAAAAUAAUGAGGCAUUCAGACUUGCCUGCUUGUGUAGAAGCAUGACUGCGAAUAGACUUUCUAAUCUUGUGUGUAAUGUAUUUUACAUGUAUUGUAUGUAGAUCAGACUUGUGUGUACAUUUACUGAAGUAGCAUUCUGGAAUGAAUAUUAGUUUGUCUUUAAUCUGAUAUCUUAUAGAUUUGGGCUGGUCCCAAUAUUGCGUGGAUUUUGAAAAUAUUUGAGAGUAGAGAGAGCGAGAGAGGGGGGAAGAAAGAGAGAGAGAGAGAGAGAGAGAAAGCAUCUAUUUUUAUUCUGUGUUGUGAUCCAUCUACCCACUGCAUGAAAUGUAUCUGACUUCUGUCUGUUCUAUAUUUAUCUCUUUUUAUACAUCAUUAGCCCAUUACAUCUCACUUAGGAAUAGGUUUUAAUUAUGGGAAGUGUCACAUAUUGCUUCCCAUCUAGAGAUAUAUUGGUCCAAUUCAAAUCGUUUAUAUUUAUUCAAAACUUACUCCCCAUAACUUAUCGAAGACCAACAGCAGAAAUUAUAAAAGCAUCACAUUUUCUUGUAUUUAAUAAGAGGCAUAAUAAAUUCUACAUUGUAAAAGUACAUUUGAUAAACAAAAUUGCAUAUUGUAAUUGGAAUACCUAUAAUUGAAAAGCAGAUUAGGUAGUGUUAUCUUUUUAUGUAUAUUUCAAUAAUUUUCUCUGUAGCCAUGCUAAGGCACAACCCAUUAUGGUCUUGAUGUAUUUUGGUAUUUAUCAUUUUAUUUAUUCCAUAUUUAAUGCAAGAAACGUUUUAUUUUAUUCAAUUGAAUGGUGCAGAUCACUAGACAGAGUGGAUUCACUGUUCUCACACCAGCAAUUUUCAUAAGGAGUGUUUGUGAUAGGGUCUGUGAAAAAUAAAUCAAUGAAAUUUGAAUUCAGAAGAAGAAAAACAUGCCUUAUUUGUAGAUGAACAAGGGUUCUUAUAUUUCUCACAGUCAUAUCUUGAGAAACUCACUAAAUUAUGGUGAAUUUUAAGUUAUUAUCUUGACUAAUUUGGUAAAUUAUGGGUUGAAUCAAUUAUUUUACCCUAAGUUGCUUUUUGUUAACAAUGGGAAGCUAAGUUGGCAUGACUCAAAUUAUUUAUAUCUGUGUAUAGACUAAAAAUAUACUUUUAUCAAUGAUGGCACUUGUAUAAUAUUAAUACAAUGGGAGUAAGCACAUACGUCAGUGGCAUUACCUUCAAAUGCAUUCAACAUAUUUUGCACACACAUUUAUUUUGCAGUAACUAAAGAGGAAUUGGUGUCAAGAGAAAAAUGUUGCCACUCUGAUUUUCACUCAUCUAAGGCACACAUAUUUCAGAGCACUGCAGACAUUUCUCAGACACUGCAUAAAUUGCUCUCUGUCUGCAAAUUAAGAAUUAAGUAUUAGUGCACAAGAAGUCAUUCAACACUUACAGAAACUUUAUCAAAUAUAUUUGAGGUGAAAUAGCCGCUAGUAUGCUCUCUUGUUAAUAUGCUAUCAUCCAUCGCAAAGACAUUGUGGAAUAUUCGAAUACAGAAAUCUCUUUUAUUUCUUUUGUGUAAACUAGUUUCGUUGUUGAUUGGGCCGAAUUCCAUGACAAUCCAAAUUAGUAAGUUCACUUUCUAUACAUAUCCCUGACAACAGAGGAUUUUAAAAUGCACUAAAAAGCAUUGCCUCUUUUGAAUUAUUUUGGUAUUCCUUUAAACAUGGUUCAAAUCCUGGAGAAUAAGCAACUCAUUACCUAAGGGAUGGUCAUUUUAAUUUGUCUGUAACUUUCUUUUUAUUGAAUAUUUAAUUCAGAUGGAAAUUAUGCUAGAUUGUAUGAAUGUGUUGGGAUUAUGUGUUUGCAAUGGACAAAUGGUAGAAAAUAAAUUGGACAAAUGGACGGAAAGGAGAUGAUUAUCACUUCUAAUGGAGAUGAUUGAAAAAAUGCUUUAGAAAGAGGAGUACAUGUUUUUAAGAACAGAUGUUAUUUUUCUUGAUUGUCAAUGUUUGUAUUAUUUAAUCAUUAAUUGUAUUUCUUGAUUUUUAUGUAAUUGUGUUAUUUUUUUCAGAAAUUUCAAUGGCUACAUUAUUGCACGACCCAAAUCAAUUUUUUUGUUUUGUGGACUUGACAGAGAUAAAUAAAAUAUAUAUAUCUAUAUAUAUUUGUACUUACUUUGAAUACAUGCACUGUUGAGACCGAAUGUAAAUCUUACUGUCUGAUGAGAAACAAAGAAACUAUUUCUAUUUAAUAAUGCUGUAAUAAUGAUACAAACUAACGUCAAAUUUAUGUAUGUGCAUAUUACAAAUGAAAAUUAACAUGGAAAUUGUAUUGUAUGAACUGAAAAGAUUAAAGACGUAUUGAUAGUAUUUGACAGAUGUAUAGGUUUAUGAGCAUUGUGUGUAAAAUAUUGCUAUAUUACUAUAAUAAAACAAUUUAUUUGCUCUGUACAGAUUCUGUUUUGUAGGAAACCAAGAUUUUUUUUCCAUAUGAAAUUUAUUUACUUGUUUGUUUUAUUUGUGUCAUCAUGUAUACAAUGUAAAUUAAACUACAAGAAUUAAAGGAAUGGCCUUCUUUUGUAUGAUUACUAUGUCAGCAAUUAGUUUUAUCGCUCUGUAAGGAAGAGUGAACAACAGACAUUGUAAAGUUUUUAAUGCAAGUAUUUUGUCAUGGUUGACUUUGAUUUUGCAAAUUAAAUUCUCAAAUUGUAAAUGCACUCUU